This 407-nucleotide ribosomal RNA is filed under the name uncultured bacterium. Its description in RNAcentral is "partial 16S ribosomal RNA". It matches the Rfam family "Bacterial small subunit ribosomal RNA", at positions 28 to 526 of the family's 1533-position model. The record is from RNAcentral.
GACGAACGCUGGCGGCGUGCCUAAUACAUGCAAGUAGGACGCAGUUGCGAACGGGUGAGUAACGCGUAGGUAACUGCCUAUUAGAGGGGGAUAACUAUUGGAAACGAUAGCUAAUACCGCAUACUAGUAGAUGGAACUUCGUUGUGUUAGCUAGUAGGUAGGGUAAUGGUCUACCUAGGCGACGAUACAUAGCCGACCUGAGAUGGUGAACCGGCACAACGGGACUGGGACACGGGCCAGGAUCCUUCGGGAGGGAACAGGAGGGGAAUUUCGGAAAUGGGGGGAAACCUGGACGAGGCAAGGCGCGGGAGUGAAGAAGGUUUUCGGAUCGUAAAGGUCUGUUGAUAAGGAAGCGGUACUUAAACAGAAAGGGACGGCUAACUACGUGCCAGCAGCCGCGGUAAUAC